AUUUGCCCCUGGUAGACUAUCGCAUUUUCACCUACAAAUUAAUUAUUAUUAACUAGUUCCUCAUGACAGUUGGGUUACAUGCAAUAAUGACUUACAAUCAAGCUACUAAUUUAAAUUUACAAGCCAACAUACCUUAUCUGCAGAUGCCCUAAUAACUAAAUUGAUAUCUGUUUCACUAACUCUAUGCUAUAAGAGUUUGUGUACA
RNAcentral lists this unclassified non-coding RNA (205 nucleotides) under Hevea brasiliensis (rubber tree). The record is from RNAcentral. Lineage: Eukaryota; Viridiplantae; Streptophyta; Magnoliopsida; Malpighiales; Euphorbiaceae.